GAGAGUAAGUCUCAUUUUUCAUCAAUAAACUCCUUCUCUCUUCCUUUUCUCUCUAUCAUCUGAAGCUCACAGUGAUCAUCCAUGGAGAUGAAUGAUUUUAACAUGGUAUCAGAGCGGGGAAUAUGAUUCUCCUUGUCACGGCCUGCAUUGCGAUGUUACCCUCACCAUCUCUCGUCAAAGUUUCGGUGGUAUCAGAGCGGGGAAUAUGAUUCUCCUCGUCCUGGCCUCCGUUGCGAUGUUACCCUCACCGUCUCUCAUCAAAGUUUCGGUCUUCUCCGACAAAUCUAGGUUUUUCUCCUAUUUCUAUUUUUUUUGAAUAUCUUUCGGUGAUUGUCAAUUUUUCUAAGUUUUUUUUGAGUUUCGUUUUUUCUAUCAUCAGUUCAAACAUACCCGUCAGUUGAUUUAUGAAAUUCUUUACCUAGGAACACUUAGGGUUUCUUAAUCUUAUAAAUUUCAGCCCCAAAAUCCUUUUUCUCAGUCCAAAAAUGGUUAAUGUUGGUGGAACAUCUGAGUCUAGGACUGACACUUUUGUGAUCGACCCCUCAAAUCCCUAGUUUCUUUUGUCUUCUGAUGUUCCGAGAAUUUCUUUGGUAAGCAACCAUUUUUCAGGGGUUGGUUUUGGGGGUUGGAGACGUAAUAUAAUCGUCUCGUUGUCCGCUAGGAAUAAAAUAGGUUUCAUUGACGGAACCAUUCCCAAACCUCCAGAAAACUCUCCUCAGUUUAGACAAUGGGAUAGGUGCAACAAUAUGGUCAUCUCUUGGCUUACUAAUUCCCUUGCGCCAGAGAUAGCCGAGACACUGCUCAAAGCAUUUGGAAUAAACUCAAUAGCAGAUAUGGGACUGUGAAUGGAACCAGGAUAUUUGAGAUUAAGCAGGAGCUGGCAUUAAUUAAUCAAGGUUCUAUGGAUAUAGCUUCUUAUUUCAAUAAAUUGAAGAAACUAUGGGAUGAACUGAACUUCAUGCGUGCAUCUCGUGGCAACACUUGCACAUGCAUUGCCAGAACCGAGUUUCAAAGGGAGGAUGAUGAAAACAAACUGCAUAAGUUCCUUAUGGGACUCAAUGACAUCUAUGUGGGAGUCAGAAGUAAUGUUCUUAUGCUACAACCUCCACCAACUCUGGAUUGUGCAUACAAUAUCCUACUCCAAGAUGAGAGACAAAGACAAGUAUCUUCACCUUCGCAAUUUCAUCAUGAUUUGAGUGCCUUCAAUGCUCAUUUCAGCAACAUACACAGCAAACCCUCCAUCACUAGAUUUCCCACAGCAGCUGGUUACCCUAAACAAUUCAACCCAAGACUCAAUUCUGAUCCCAAUAGAGCAAACCUAGUGUGUAGGUAUUGUAAGAAACCUGGACACCUGAUUGAAAAAUGUUAUAAACUUCAUGGCUUUCCACCAGACUUCAAAUUCACAAGAGAAUUUCCAUCAGAUUUCAAAUUCACCAAAGGAAGGAGGAGUGCAUCACAUGUUGAAGUGCAGGGUAUGCAGACCCUGCUGGAACUCGGAGUAAUGCUGACAACUCUCAAUGGACUUCUGAUUCAGAGUCUCUAAUACCUGGUUUAAUCAAAGACCAAUAUUCCCAGCUUAUGUUGCUGCUUCAACAGACACAACUUGCAGAGUCUAAGCAGCAAUCCAGUCUUAUGGCCUCAUUCAACUUUGCUGGUAAUUUUCCUUCAACCACUCAUUUAAAAAAUGUUUCCUAUGGGGCUUGCAUUCUAACCAA
RNAcentral lists this long non-coding RNA (1715 nucleotides) under Nicotiana benthamiana. Its description in RNAcentral is "long non-coding RNA (NBEN_LNC006591)". The record is from RNAcentral. Lineage: Eukaryota; Viridiplantae; Streptophyta; Magnoliopsida; Solanales; Solanaceae.